UUGGCAGUCUUCCCAAUUGCAAGUGGAAGUUUAUUGUAGUACACACUGAAGCUGCCAAUUUAAAGACUCUUAAACCAAAGUCUGAAGUGUAUCUUUGCUCAAAUAACUGGGGACAUCUGGACACCCAGUCUUGAUAUCUUGAUGAUGAAUUAUACUAGCAUAUCUUAGAAGUGUUAAGAAUAACAUUUUAACUAACAAAUGAAAAAUCUAGUGGAUUUGUGUUCAAAACAGCGGAUUUUCGCAAUUUGAUUGGCGAAUUUCGGUGUUUUACAUUUGGCAACACUUGCUCAACCAAGGCAAGGCCAAGGCCAACUCCAAGGAGGACAAAUGUCUGGCUCUUCCUGUAACAGAAGCCGGCUUCCGUAUCUGUAAGUUGAUAUAUCUGGCUUUAUUAUCUUCGUUUUCAGAUCGUCAUGGGGGAGUGACUACAAACUGAAGAAAAUAGAGAUCAACAUAGGAGAAUGGGAGAGUACACCAGAAGGGAGACUAGAGUGUCAAAAAUACAGGAAGCUACUGGUAAUCCAGGGUCUGAUGAUGGCAAUCCAGGACUUGCAGUAUUACACAAUUGUGGACUAGACAAAAUCUAGAGUUGGAACGACUGUAUUUUAUUGAAUUUACAACAUUACAAUGCAAAAUAAACAUUGUGAAAUAAAUGAA
This is a long non-coding RNA of Macrobrachium nipponense, 657 nucleotides long. RefSeq lists it as uncharacterized. NCBI's taxonomy places the organism in Eukaryota, Metazoa, Arthropoda, Malacostraca, Decapoda, Palaemonidae. The transcript has 3 exons. The record is from RefSeq and is a predicted model, not a curated record.